GCAAAAUCGAGGAUCGAUCCCCCUAUUUUGGUCCCAGGAAACCUCACGGCUGAAUAUUAGGCCCGACAUCAUACUGUCAAAGAAGGACCAGAAUUACGAAGCCACAAGACUACACUUUGAGAAUCUUGUUUUGAGAUAUGGGAAUCCGAUAAUUAUAUUGAAUUUGAUUAAGACGCGCGAGAAGAAGCCACGAGAAAGUAUCCUCCGUGCUGAGUUUGCAAAUGCUAUAAGAUAUAUAAACAAAAGUUUAUCUGCAGAGAACCGCCUAAGAUUUCUCCACUGGGAUUUGAACAAACAUGCGAAAAGCAAAGCAUCCAACGUUUUGAUGCAGCUUGGAAGGGUUGCUACAUAUGCGUUGAACUUAACUGGAAUCUUUU
Molecule: unclassified non-coding RNA, 377 nt
Filed under: Hevea brasiliensis (rubber tree)
Lineage: Eukaryota; Viridiplantae; Streptophyta; Magnoliopsida; Malpighiales; Euphorbiaceae
Source: RNAcentral